Molecule: ribosomal RNA, 513 nt
Filed under: uncultured Streptococcus sp.
Lineage: Bacteria; Bacillati; Bacillota; Bacilli; Lactobacillales; Streptococcaceae
Description: bacterial SSU rRNA
Rfam family: Bacterial small subunit ribosomal RNA
Source: RNAcentral
GACGGACGCUGGCGGCGUGCCUAAUACAUGCAAGUAGAACGCUGAAGGAGGAGCUUGCUCUUCUGGAUGAGUUGCGAACGGGUGAGUAACGCGUAGGUAACCUGCCUGGUAGCGGGGGAUAACUAUUGGAAACGAUAGCUAAUACCGCAUAAUAGUAGAUGUUGCAUGACAUUUGCUUAAAAGGUGCAAAUGCAUCACUACCAGAUGGACCUGCGUUGUAUUAGCUAGUUGGUGGGGUAACGGCUCACCAAGGCGACGAUACAUAGCCGACCUGAGAGGGUGAUCAGCCACACUGGGACUGAGACACGGCCCAGACUCCUACGGGAGGCAGCAGUAGGGAAUCUUCGGCAAUGGACGGAAGUCUGACCGAGCAACGCCGCGUGAGUGAAGAAGGUUUUCGGAUCGUAAAGCUCUGUUGUAAGAGAAGAACGAGUGUGAGAGUGGAAAGUUCAUACUGUGACGGUAUCUUACCAGAAAGGGACGGCUAACUACGUGCCAGCAGCCGCGGUAAUA